GUGUCCCUCUCUCCUCUCGCCGGUGGUUUGAGAUCCGCCUGGUCCCUGAAGCACUCCAUCCAAAUCUCCACCUCCCACCUCCGAGUGCGUGGAAAUCUUCCACGAUUUGCAUCCCCCAUCAUGAACUGGUUGUCGUCCGAGCUGCCUCUCCUGCAGCUGGGUGCGGCUUCUCCACGGACGCCCACUAGUUUCCCCUCAUGCAACCAGACCUACAUGGUCAACAAAGACCAACCACUGAUUCUCCCUCCAUCGAGCAUAUCUUUGCCACCGACGCCGCCGUCCUACUUUUACUCCACUCCCGAACUGAGGUUUCUAUAUUCAGGGAGCAAGAGAGAUGAGGCGCCGAUCCCGGAGGAGGUGUCCAAAUACUCAUGUGUGUGCUAUGGUUGUGCUCAGUUUGUUGUUGAGUAUAUGUUGGUCCUAAUAUCCCCUUGGUUGCAAUGCUUCUCCUAACUAUGGAUACUGUUUAGUGCUCCUAUUUAUACAUGACUUAUGAUGAUGCUAUGGUAGGGUUUCUGUAAGCUAUUAUUUAUGAUUUAGGCGAUGUACUGUGUACACACUUGCUACUUGUUAUUGGCAUGGUCUCUAUUGUUAGCAGCAAAUGCUUAACUAUAAUUUCUAGAAUUGGUCAUGAGCUAAAAUUACUAUGAUCGAUUUUACUUGUGAUGUGCAACUACUUAAUUGGAUUGUUGUGUGUUUCCGCAUUAUGCAGAUUUACAUGUUAUCAUAUGUAUGUUGCCUGAUUGAUCGCUCAUGAUCAAAUUCUUAUAGGCGUUGGGUGGCGGCGUCCUUCCAUCACCACCUACCCCUUGGCAACUCAUUUUAUUUCUGUACCAAGUACAUCUACUUCAACUACUCCAGCCUCUAUGUGUAGGUAUUUAUGCCAUUGACCACAAACCCUAGAUUCAACUUGCUUUUUAUAAUAUGUUGUGACUUUGCACUAUGCUCUCAUUCAUCUAUGUCGAAUAGAGAUUUCAAAUGUGUCGUCAUGCUAGAGUCUGAGUCUAGUGGGGCCAGCAAUAGUGGGGAGCUGCAAAUUACCUUUCUUGAUCUGAAUUGUGAACAUAUGAUGAUUUUUUUGUUGCAAAUAAAUGGAAGGUGAUGCUUUUGCCUGUUUCUUGCUAUUCCUUAUCCUAUACGCCUAUCUUAGUUACCGUCAUUUUUCAGAACACGGCACUACUUAAACUAACCGCACGUGGCUUCAUUUUGCUCAGAAUAUUCUUACUGAGUAUAGCGAUAUUUAUUGCACCAGUAUGUGAAUCGAACCGUAUUGAAUAAUAUUUAACCACAUCAAAUGACAUUUCUUUAUUUGACAAUAGGCAUGUAAACCACAACCUUCUGUUCUGUAUGUUCUUCUCAUAUGUGAUCCUUUUAAUGUCCGGAAGUUCAUCAUUCCAGAAUCGGCUACUCAGAAGAAGUGGAAAGUGGAAGACGGACGAUGCUAUGGUUUCUCAAUUUGCUGUUACACGUGAACAAUUUAAUUUUAUGUUCUUUAAUGUGUUACAUUGAAGGCUGGACUUGUUGGAAAGUGGUUGUAUUGAUCGUACAGUACCAAAAGUUGUUGGAUUUGUAGUGGAGUUGAAGGCUGAACUAUUUUA
Long non-coding RNA from Hordeum vulgare subsp. vulgare (domesticated barley), 1598 nucleotides. RefSeq lists it as uncharacterized. Lineage: Eukaryota; Viridiplantae; Streptophyta; Magnoliopsida; Poales; Poaceae. The transcript is spliced from 2 exons. The record is from RefSeq and is a predicted model, not a curated record.